CUAUGCAAUGACACUAUGCAA
Caenorhabditis elegans is the source of this 21-nucleotide non-coding RNA. Lineage: Eukaryota; Metazoa; Nematoda; Chromadorea; Rhabditida; Rhabditidae. The record is from Ensembl.